CACCCUCUCUGGGGCCGACCAGCUCGGGCCGCUGGCACAGUCACGCGCGUCCACACAUCACCCCCGCACCCACUCGCCGGGCAGGGUCCUCGCCUCUUCGCCCCGCGCCGCGCCGCGCAGCCAAGCAUCGUCUGCCCUGUGGGGGCGCAGUUGGAUCUGCCUCCUGGGGAAGUAACAGCCGGGAUGCCCUUCCAGGUGACCUUCGUUUGGAGAUUGGGUGUGCUCCAGCUCCUGGACUUUUUUAAAUUCCUGGAAUUGUGUCUCUCUAUCAUGGGGCUGGUACUAUUACCAUACGUUUCAGAAAACAGCAUCUGUUUACAAAGCGUUUUAUUAUACAAUACAGAAAUACAUUUCACCCCAAAUGAUAACAGUGAACUUCAGCCCCCAGAAUCUCCUUCUCCCCUUCGUGAAACAGAGCUGGGAUGACGGCAGAGGACUCCAGAACGCACUGAGAUUGUUCCUUGGCAUGACAAAUGGCAAAGGACUCUAGAACGCAGAGAUUGUUCCUUGGUGUGACGGGCCAGACAGCACACCUUUCUUCAAGCCAUUCUCACAUCAAAUAAAACGUUGAUAAAUCAUUGUUUCUCUAAGCUUGAAAAAUGCUAAUAACUCAAGACAAGAUGAAAGUGAGUUUGUUGAAAUCAACGUGAAGGAUCGAGGGUACCAACUUGGAAUGUAAAACCAUAGAAAAUACCAUCUGGGAACACGGAAAUCAUCUGUGUUAUCUGGAAGCCUGUCUCCAGAGUGGCAAACUUAGGGACUGGUUUGAGGACAGAGUGUGCCCUGUGUGCUGGGGAGGGAUGUGAAGGACUGGGAUGGAGGAGGGGGGGUUCGAGAUGUUCUUUUACCCAUAAAUACACUGUACAUCACCGUCUGCCACUGAAGCUUAAGGAUUGAAAACCUUGGGGAUGUUUCACUGGUUUUGCUUCCACCUCCGCAAUGUUUGAACUUGCAUUUUGUGAGCCGCGUAUGCAACUAAAAGCCUUACAUGCAUUACCCACCCUUCACCUCUCUUACUAGUCCUAUUUACAGGUGAGAAAACUGAGGCACAAGGAGUUUUGCUGAUUCGGGAUUGUUACGGGUUUUAGGUUUUGUUUUCCUCCUGCCAGCUCCUGGACUUUUUAAAAUUCCUGUAAUUGUGUCUCCCAAUCAUGGGCCAGGAAUAUGAGAAUCAGCUGUGAACUUCGAGCCUGUCCAUCUCAAAACUCUUCAUCUCCAAGACAUUUCAAUAGAGCUUUGCCAGUAAACAAAAAUAAAUACGGUUCGGUUUACCCAGAAGCCAAAUCCCUUGUAAGAAGUUCUGGGCCAGUUUCUUCCCAGAGCGGGAGAAUAUACAGUUGUAGUUUGAGUUGAUUUUAUUUCUUUGAGGCUUUGUUUUUCUAGUCUUCCAGGCCUUAACCUCACUCCCUCAGGAACAGCUGAAAUAUGAGAAGAGAUCAUAUGGCCCCCAAAAAGUCCCCAGAUUAACCAAGAUUGAUGCCACCCAGGGCCCAGUUGGGGGUCAACACCCUGUGUCAGGUGCGCUCUCUGUAUAAUUCCUGUUUCCUGUGAGAAGAGCAUUAAAGGCCCGUGAAUGUUUUAAAAUGAAAUGCAACCUCUUAAUAAUCAGGUUUCUCCACUCUGCUAGGAUUCCAAAAAAAAAAUCAGCAACUGACAAAUGUUAAAAAUUUCCUCGCUGCUAAUCAUGCUUCCCCCUGAUUCCCUUUCUUUCCCUCCUCUCUCUCUUCUAACAUGAAUUUAUUUUCUAUUUGAAAGCCAAUCUCACUGGUUAUUAGAUAUUCUCCCUGCUGUCACUAUCAGUAAAUUAUUAAACAGCUGACCAAGCUUUGUUUUAAAAUGAUUCUCUUAUGAAGCUCAGUGAUAUAUUUGCUAUGAAUACUGAAUGGUGCCGUGGUCUCUAAGGACACGUGAAUGAUUCCUAUUUACUACCUUUAGCAAAAUGUGUGUGCAAUUAGCGGCAAGAACUUGACUUGAAUCACAGUUACUAGGGAUGCCUGUAGCUCAUUUACAUGGAGCUCCCUUUACUCAUUACACUCCUGCCCGGGAGAAGCGUGUUAAGAUUCUAGGCCAGGUCACGAAAUAGCAUAUAGACUUGUCUUUUGUCAUUCCUCACCUCCUUUCUUGUCUUGCCACUGCUGAGCCUUGACAUACCUGUGGGAAUCCUUUGUUUCAUGGAGCAGCGGGUUCUAAGUGAAUUUUUGCUUAAAGAAAAUAAACGUGAUUGAGAGAAAAUUA
This 2235-nucleotide long non-coding RNA is filed under the name Pan troglodytes (chimpanzee). Its description in RNAcentral is "lincRNA". Lineage: Eukaryota; Metazoa; Chordata; Mammalia; Primates; Hominidae. The record is from RNAcentral.